GAUCCUGGCUCAGGAUAAACGCUGGCUACAGGCUUAACACAUGCAAGUCGAGGGGCAGCAUCAUCAAAGCUUGCUUUGAUGGAUGGCGACCGGCGCACGGGUGAGUAACACGUAUCCAACCUGCCGACAACACUGGGAUAGCCUUUCGAAAGAAAGAUUAAUACCGGAUGGCAUAGUUUUCCCGCAUGGGAUGACUAUUAAAGAAUUUCGGUUGUCGAUGGGGAUGCGUUCCAUUAGG
Molecule: ribosomal RNA, 238 nt
Filed under: uncultured bacterium
Lineage: Bacteria
Description: partial 16S ribosomal RNA
Rfam family: Bacterial small subunit ribosomal RNA
Source: RNAcentral